UACGAAGGGGGCUAGCGUUGUUCGGAAUUACUGGGCGUAAAGCGCACGUAGGCGGGUGGUUAAGUCAGGGGUGAAAUCCCGGAGCUCAACUCCGGAACUGCCUUUGAUACUGGCCAUCUAGAGAUCGGAAGAGGUGAGUGGAAUUCCCAGUGUAGAGGUGAAAUUCGUAGAGAUUGGGAAGAACACCAGUGGCGAAGGCGGCUCACUGGUCCGAUACUGACGAUGAGGUGCGAAAGAGUGGGGAGCAAACAGG
Molecule: ribosomal RNA, 253 nt
Filed under: uncultured bacterium
Lineage: Bacteria
Description: partial 16S ribosomal RNA
Rfam family: Bacterial small subunit ribosomal RNA
Source: RNAcentral